AAGCACUGUUUGUGACCUGUUAAUGUUGCUGUGGCUAACAGGUUCCAUUCCAGUUCUACAGCAGUCCCAGUGACCCGGGAUUGACUGACUGGUGGCUCGCAGUUUCAGGUCUUGGAGACAAGC
Small nucleolar RNA from Eptesicus fuscus (big brown bat), 123 nucleotides. Lineage: Eukaryota; Metazoa; Chordata; Mammalia; Chiroptera; Vespertilionidae. The record is from RefSeq and is a predicted model, not a curated record.